UACGUAGGGUGCAAGCGUUGUCCGGAAUUAUUGGGCGUAAAGAGCUCGUAGGCGGUCUGUCGCGUCGAAUGUGAAAACCCGGGGCUCAACCCCGGGCCUGCAUUCGAUACGGGCAGACUAGAGUUCGGUAGGGGAGUCUGGAAUUCCUGGUGUAGCGGUGAAAUGCGCAGAUAUCAGGAGGAACACCGGUGGCGAAGGCGGGACUCUGGGCCGAUACUGACGCUGAGGCGCGACAGCGUGGGGAGCAAACAGG
This 253-nucleotide ribosomal RNA is filed under the name uncultured bacterium. RNAcentral's name for it is "partial 16S ribosomal RNA". It matches the Rfam family "Bacterial small subunit ribosomal RNA", at positions 524 to 776 of the family's 1533-position model. The record is from RNAcentral.